RNAcentral lists this long non-coding RNA (1982 nucleotides) under Taeniopygia guttata (zebra finch). RNAcentral's name for it is "lncRNA (ENSTGUG00000024042.1)". Lineage: Eukaryota; Metazoa; Chordata; Aves; Passeriformes; Estrildidae. The record is from RNAcentral.
AGACAGUGCCGUAGAGCCAAGGGAGAUUAUCCAGACCCCCAGGAGCAAACGGCAGGCAGCGACCGCAGGCACAAGUGCCAGGAUUACAGACCAGGCUCCUCCGCCGCGAGCCCUUCCUCGGACCGCACCAUGGGGAUGGGACUCCCCCGCCAGCAUCGCACCACUCGGACUUCCAGCACUUUUCCCCCCUUUAGACAUCAUUCUGCCGCAGUGGAGCCAGCACAACGGAUGCUUUCACACCCUGCGAGACAAAGGCCGUCGUCUCCGCCAUGACACCGCUCUCUUCCAAGCCGAGGCCGGCAUCUUGGAGUCUUUGAAAAUAAAUGGAAAAGGGAAAUGCGAACAAUAAACACAGCAAUCGAAAAAACCUCAUCAACAAACCCCUUGUGCCCGCUCUCCAUGCCAGGGGCAACAUGGGCAUCUGUCGCAGCAGAAGGCGUUUGUGUGGGGCUUGCUUUUUUUUUUUUUUUGGCUUUUUUUUUCCCCGCAAGCUGUUGGUGUGUUUUGCCAUUCAGGUUCGUUUACAAUUAAUGCCAAAAAAACCCCAACCACACCCAGCCCAGUCAACAACAAACAAAAGGGAGUAGUCGACAUGGAGGGAGAAAUGCCCAGAGAAGCUGCAAGAAUGCGAACUACGGCCGAUGCCACAGACAUGCACAAACUUGAAGACAGAGAGAUUUGGAAGGUGCUACUUGUGAAACCCAGGUGGCACUCGGAGGGCGAGCAAGGGAAGGAGCUGUGCGGGUGCUCCACCGGGUCUGGAGGGCGCAGGGGCUUCUGGACAAGGGCGUCAAAGGACAGCUGGCUACUUACGUUGUCUGCGCUGCUGAGGAUCCUGCAAGGUGUUCUGUUGGCACUGGGCGCUGAGCCAGGGAAGGGCACUGGAGACAAAAGGGAGAGACAAAAAAAUAAAGUCAUACAAUGGGAAUAUUAAUUACCUCUCUUGCGGAUUUUACAAAACUCACAAAAUGUUUUCUUUUUGCCUGGUGGUUUUUUUUUUUUUUGUGUGGAUUGGUGCACUUCCCUUCUGCAUGGAAAAUACUAGCAUGGGAUCUACAGCCCAGCUACAGGGCUCGGGAUUAACAGUGCUGGCAUCUUUUGGGCAUAUUUUUUCUUUUAAUGAAUGAGCUUUCGCUGUUAAUGAGGAAUAAUCGUUUGGCUAAUGAGCUUUGAAACAUUAAGAGAAAAGAGUGUUUUUUCCCGUUAAUUGCCCUGGUGCGACCGCAUGGAUGGAUUACAAAAGACAGCAGUAGGAAUGCAGUACAAAGAGGAGAAAUGUCUCCUGAAGUGGGAUAAAUGCAGAGUUGGGUGAUACAUCCCUGCACCUCUCCUUCCUUCGCUCCCUCUUACUCCCUCUCUGCCAACUGCUAUGGUUUUCCAUAACUCCGCAAUCAAAGUGGAUGGUCGGGGAAGAUUAUUAUAGUCAAACAGUGAAGCGUCGGCGGCUAAUGUCUCCAGUGUUUAAUCAUCAUACAGUAGAAUGGUUUUAUGCAUAUUUCAUUUGCAUAUCAUUAAACCACGCUAGCGCGGGACAUUCAGAGCUGGAGAGGUACAAAGUUGGGGGGAGAGAGUGGGAGAGCGAGAACGAGACAGAGGGAGGAAGGUCCCUGUGAUGCGUAUCUUCAAAAGCCAGGGACUUGUUCCAUGAUCUGUCUUCUACUUUUACUAAAAUCAUGAUGACUUGGAAAUCUUUGAAGUUGGAUAUAACCUUGGAUUCUUCUAAUUCCAGCAGAGUGAUGUAUUAGAAAGGGGGGAAUGAUGCUGCGCUAGACAUUUAAAGGAAUAUAAGCUCCAGUGGAAUGGAAAUAGGAGCUCUUUGGGGAAUGAACUAGCAGAGCCAGCCACAGCUUCAACAUCACACUGCUGUGUUCAUGCUGGUGAAGGAUACCAAAGUAAUACAAAAGAAAUGAAGACAGCAUAUACAUUAAGAUGGGGAUUAUAUUUACUCUUUUCCUUUUUAAAGGCACAAAGCAGGAUGGAAC